AUGUGUCAUAUCAAUGUUGUAUAUAUCAACUCACCAGGGUAUCUGUUUUCAAAAGAGUAAAUAUUGAAGUAUAUUUUAUAAUUUGACUAUCAGGUGAGAAAUAGACAAUGUAUGCAUGUCAUAAAAAGUAUCACGGAAAAGAAGUUAUUUCUUUUUACAAUGCAUAAACUUUCUACAAUGAAAGGAUACUAGUAACACCAGAUCCUGAAUAGUUUUACCUUUAAAAGUUGACGUAUCUGAGUUAAGUAAUAUUAAAUUCAAUUAUGACAAUUAUGUCAUUUCAUAUGCAAGUAGAAACAUUAGUAGUGAAUUGAUGUAUUUUAUGACCAAUCAUUGGAGCUCCGCACACCAUUGUUACUCUCUUUGAUCCUUAAAAAAACUGCUAUCCCAUUAUUUUCCAUGGUAAUCAAUACAAAUGAUAUUCUGUACAUUUGUGAGAAAACAAAAUCUGCCAGCAAUCACCCACACCCCUAAAUAGGAAUUAUGUAUCUAACAUAUUGACUAUUUGUAUCAUUUUAGGUAUGUACAAUGCCCCCUGUUACUACUACCCUAACAGAGCCGGAGCAGCUGGCAGGGCAUCGUUUAUUGUAGCUGUGGAACUAAAGAGUGGAGAAAAGAAUGCUGAUCACUGGGUUAAAAGAGGAACAGCUCUAUUGAUGAGUUUGGACUAUUAAUUCCUUAAUGAAGACAGAAGGAACAAAAGAAAACAUACUGACUUGUUGAUAAUGUCUUACCUUUUAUGAUUUGACAAUAAGAAUAUGCAUUUAACUUUGUGAUUUGUUUUACUGUUUUUUUGUCCAGUUGUAAGAAUUUAUUAUAGUUGGAAAGUAUAAAUUAUAUUGGCAUUGAAGUGCUGUGUCUGAUGUUAAUAUGAAAACUCCUACUUUAUUUGUCGUGUGCUUUCAGAUUAUUAUAGCAAGAAGAAUAUUCUUUACUCUGUUGAUUUAAUGAAACAAUUUAAGAAGAAACAAAAUUAAAUUCACACACAUUGCCUAUCUUAUCUAUUGUAUUUCAAAAUAAUCAUAUUUAAGAAAAAAAAACACUGAGCUUUUUGUUUAAUACUUAAGUGUCAAUGCUGCAUAACAAUAUGUUUUUAAAACAGUAAAUAUUGAUGAAGUAAAUAUGAGAUUAAUUUCAGAACAUUGGUUAAAUUUUCCACAAAAUGAAAGAGUGUACAAUUUACCAAUCAUCAUGUUGUUUGAACUAACUCCUAUAUUUUGCUGUUAAAUUUGAAUUUUUAUUUUAACUCUGUUAAAGGUUAAUAAAAGUUAUUUAAAAAGGAGCAUAAAAUAUCAUAGAAAAACAAUUAUCUAUAAAUAAUCUACACUUUUUUAUCCUGCUAUUGAGGUUUCAAAAUUGACACCUAGGCUAUGUAUGGCUAAAGAAGUAUUAGAAUCCUUGAAUUUAUAUACUUAGAAUUAAACAAAUAACAAGAUAUAUCCUUUCUCUUCCUAGGAACAUAUUGAUUAUUAUUGUUAACCGAAAAAGUCAUUAACUGUGAUAUUUUUUCCCAAUUAGGUACAAGUAAAUCAUUCCGUCCAAUAUAAGAUAUUUAUUAUUUUUUCCCUAUUAGGUACAAGUAAAUCAUUCCGUCCAAUAUCUAAAAAUACAGUAUAUUAUUAUUCGUUUAUAUUAUUUUAAAUCCAAAACUACCGGAUUAUGUUUUUUUUAUUUAGAAAAAAAUGUUGUUAUUAAUUUAUAUUGUUGGGUUUAUUAAACAAAUUUGAGAACAGAUAUAACAUUGAACUUAAUUAGAUUUUUCUUGUUGUUUAUUAUUUUUACAUACAAGUGUGUAUAGAACAUAUUGUGACCUGCAAAUUAUUAUACAGUUAACUUAAAUUGGUGCAUUUGAAACCAGUUUACCAGAAAGGAGGCAAUUAAACCCAAUUACUCUGAAAGGUACAAUUAUAACCAGUUGAACAGAAAUAGCACAAUUAAAACAAGUGUCCAGAAGAGCUUUAAUGAAACCAGUUAACCAGUAAAAGUACAAAUAAAAUAAGUAUCCAGAAAAUCUUCAAUGAAACCAGUAAGCCAGAAAAAGUACAAUUAAACAAGUAUCAAGAAAAGCUUCAAUGAAACCAGAAAGCCAGAAAAAAGUACAAUUAAAACAAAAAUCCAGUAAAGCUUUAAAGAAACCAGUUAACCAAAAAUAGUACAAUUAAAACAAGUAUCAAGAAAGCUUCAAUAAAACCAUAAUACCAGUAAUAGUACAAUUUAAACAAGUAUCAAGAAAAGCUUCAAUGAAACCAGUAAACCAGAAAAAGUACAAUUAAAACAAUUAUCUAGAAAAGCUGCAAUGAAACCAGUUACAUAGAAAUAGAACCAUUUAAACAAGUAUCCAGAAAAUCUUCAAUGAAGCCAGUAAACCAGA
RNAcentral lists this long non-coding RNA (2371 nucleotides) under Mytilus galloprovincialis (Mediterranean mussel). Lineage: Eukaryota; Metazoa; Mollusca; Bivalvia; Mytilida; Mytilidae. The record is from RNAcentral.